This 435-nucleotide ribosomal RNA is filed under the name Allosergestes pectinatus. Its description in RNAcentral is "partial large subunit ribosomal RNA". It matches the Rfam family "Bacterial large subunit ribosomal RNA", at positions 1972 to 2606 of the family's 2925-position model. The record is from RNAcentral. Lineage: Eukaryota; Metazoa; Arthropoda; Malacostraca; Decapoda; Sergestidae.
UCUUUUAAUUAAAGGCUUGUAUGAAUGGUCGGACAAAAAGUAAGCUGUCUCCGGUUAUAAAAAUUGAAUUUGACUUUUAAGUGAAAAGGCUUAAAUAAAACAAAAUGACGAUAAGACCCUAUAAAGCUUUAAAGUGUAAUUUUUUAUUAAAAAUUAUGAAAUUGUAUAACUUAAUUUAAAUUAAAACUUUUUCGUUGGGGCGACGAAAAUAUAACAGCAUAACUGUUUUUACAUUAAUAAGACAGAUAUAUCUGGUUAUAAAUGAUCCUUUAUUAAAGAUUAAAAGUUUAAGUUACUUUAGGGAUAACAGCGUAAUCUUCUUUGAGAGUUCAUAUCGACAAGAAGGGUUGCGACCUCGAUGUUGAAUUAAGGUUCCUUUAUGGUGUAGCAGUUAUAACUGGAGGUCUGUUCGACCUUUAAACCCUUACAUGAUUU